RNAcentral lists this ribosomal RNA (320 nucleotides) under uncultured eukaryote. RNAcentral's name for it is "partial 18S ribosomal RNA". It matches the Rfam family "Eukaryotic small subunit ribosomal RNA", at positions 1470 to 1796 of the family's 1831-position model. The record is from RNAcentral.
CCCUUAGAUGUCCUGGGCCGCACGCGCGUUACACUGAUGCAUUCAACGAGCUUAUAACCUUGGCCGAGAGGCCUGGGCAAUCUUGUUAACGUGCAUCGUGAUAGGGAUAGAUUAUUGAAAUUAUUAAUCUUGAACGAGGAAUUCCUAGUAAACGCAGAUCAUCAAUCUGCAUUGAUUACGUCCCUGCCCUUUGUACACACCGCCCGUCGCACCUACCGAUUGGAUGGUCCGGUGAACUGUUCGGCCAUAGCAAUGUUGCUUGAGCAGGGCAAUGAAUGUUUCGCAAACCUUGCCACUUAGAGGAAGGAGAAGUCGUAACA